Molecule: long non-coding RNA, 738 nt
Organism: Heterocephalus glaber (naked mole-rat)
Lineage: Eukaryota; Metazoa; Chordata; Mammalia; Rodentia; Bathyergidae
Source: RefSeq, a predicted model, not a curated record
CUCAUAUGAGAAACACCUUAGCAACAGAACGGGCCAGAUGGAUGCGUUUUGUUUAAUGUCACCAGCUGAUAUCUUCUGGACAUACUGAAACACAAAGAAGACGGCCUGGUUUGACUUACGGAUUUUUUCCCAUUAAAUUACAUCUCAUUGCAUAUAUUACCACAACAUGUCCGUGAAGUAGAUAAUAAAGACACCACUAUUGUUCCCAUACUACAGGGUUGGAAACCAACACCUCAUGGCUGAAGAAUAUGAAGAAAGUCUACGGUCACAGAGAUACAUCAUUGAAAAAGAAAAGGAAUAGGAUUGUUCUGGCCCAUCUGUACUCUCUCAGCUCCACUGACCCAGCACACACACAAGAGCAGUGAUCAGAGGACUAACGGCAGCAACUGGAAGCCAUGGCAUAGCGAGAAGCAGAGGACCCGUGCAGGGACAGUCCCUGAACUCUGAGCCAAGUCCACUGGCGGGAACCUCAGCAGCCACACAGCCACCCUGAAAGGCGCCGGGGUCUGCUCCACUGUUGCACUGCUCGCAGCCACACCUGCUACCACCAAAGCAGGUCCUGCUGAGUGUGUGGAUUGGAGAAAAACUGGAUGGUGCUCACACAGGUUUCCUGACCCCUGGAGGAUGCUGGAUUUCUGGUUUCCUUGUGGGUGUGAGAUGUGGAAAUGACAGCAUUGACAGCGAGCCAGGACCGGCGCACUCUCAGAGGGAUCAGCCCCUCGUGGAUCUGCCCCAUCU